Molecule: RNase P RNA, 408 nt
Filed under: Rhodospirillaceae bacterium
Lineage: Bacteria; Pseudomonadati; Pseudomonadota; Alphaproteobacteria; Rhodospirillales; Rhodospirillaceae
Description: RNase P RNA component class A
Rfam family: Bacterial RNase P class A
About the family: Ribonuclease P (RNase P) is a ubiquitous endoribonuclease, found in archaea, bacteria and eukarya as well as chloroplasts and mitochondria. Its best characterised activity is the generation of mature 5'-ends of tRNAs by cleaving the 5'-leader elements of precursor-tRNAs.
Source: RNAcentral
UCAGACGGUUGGAUGGCCGCUGGCAGUUUCGACUGCUGGAGGAAAGUCCGGGCUCCACGGAAACACGGUGCCGGGUAACACCCGGCGGGGGCGACCCCAGGGAAAGUGCCACAGAAAGCAAACCGCCAACCGGCUUCGGCCGGCGGCAAGGGUGAAAGGGUGCGGUAAGAGCGCACCGCGGGACCGGCAACGGAACCGGCACGGUAAACCCCACCGGGAGCAAGACCGAAUAGGGAUGAUCGGCCGCGCGCAAGCGGCGGCAGGCGGGUUUUCGCGCCAUCAUCCGGGUAGGUCGCGCGAGGCGGUCGGCAACGAUCGUCCCAGAGGAAUGGCCAUACAACGUGUCGCCUUGCUCGAAAGAGUGGGGCGGCAUGUGGACAAAACCCGGCUUAUAGACCGUCUGACCCG